This is a long non-coding RNA of Neofelis nebulosa (Clouded leopard), 2079 nucleotides long. RefSeq lists it as uncharacterized. The record is from RefSeq and is a predicted model, not a curated record. Lineage: Eukaryota; Metazoa; Chordata; Mammalia; Carnivora; Felidae. The transcript is spliced from 2 exons.
AAUUUGCAUGUUAUGUUAUAUGAAUAUGGGCUGAUGGUUGAGUUAGGAAAAGCAGUAGCCUAAUAACAGCAAGGACAGGCUAAUGUUCGCUGCUUGAUCACAGAACUCGUAACUAUCCAUCAUCUCAGCUUUCCAGAAUCGUGGCCUACCUGUAAAUCAGAUAUAGGCUAACACAGAGGUUCCUAAAACCUGAAGGAAUGCUUGAUGUCAGUGAAAGGCAGUGGAAAGAAUAUUAUUGUCAUAAUCAUAAAUGUUUUAUUUAAAACUUGCUAAGAGUAUGACCUUAAAAGUUCUCAUCAGAUUAAAUACCUGUGUGGUGACAGGUGUUAACUAGGCUCAUUGUGAUCACCCUGCGGCACAUACGAACAUCAGAGUGUGUGUGUAUGUCUGUUACACUGCAACAAAAAGGUUUUAGGGAACAUAAAAGAAUCGUAAGUACAAGUGUAGAUUACAGAGAACAAUUUGUAUCGUUAAAGGAUGUAAGUUAUUAGGCUGAUGGUGUUAAACACACGUUUACUUUGAAAAUGUGACUUUCUCGGGGUGCCUGGCUGUCUCAGUCAUAAGAGUGUGCGACUCUUGAUCUGCAGAUCGUGAAUUUGAGCCCCACGUUGGAAGUAGAGAUUACUAAAAAACAAACAAAAGAAAACAUGUUUUUCUUGGUGAGGAGACCUCGCAUACCUGACUCAGGUGAAGCCAGUUCCGGAAGCUACAGUCAGGCCAUGUUAUACCCCCUUUGCCGGGUGGAGGGCAGAGGGUCAGGGCUGCGGCUCGGGUGUUGAACACGCCGGUUGCCCCGUGUGGUCUGGCUGCCCCAGACCAACAUGCAGUUGGAGGAGGUUCUUUGCAGGAAGUCUGAGGGGCAGCCUCAGUCCCCGCCUAAGAUGGCAGAGGAGGUGUGACUUCUGGCGCUCCAGCACCUGAUGACCGGAGGUGACAUCACUUGUGACCACUUGGGGGCCCAAAGUCGGCAGACGCCUUGAGCUUCUCUAAGUCAGCAUCGCGAACCUCCCCCAUCCCACCAGUGAGUGCUAGGAAGUCAGGCUCCCCUGCUUCCGCUGCAGGGAGGGGCCGCUUUCAUGCCAUUUACGUUUGGUUUCUGUGUAUCUUGUGGUCAGCAAAUGAUUUUCCAGAGAAUAAAGAGGCACGGGCCAAUUUAUUGGUAAAGUAGGAGGGGGAUAAGCUUGACCACAUCCGUCCAUGGUUUGGGUAUGGAGGAUGCCACCCUGGGGCGAAGAGACCAGAACCCUCCUCACUGCAUAUCCAUCUUUGGAAGUGAAUUUGGGGACCUGGGGCAAAGGCCACAGUGCUCUCAGAGCUGCCCUCCCUCGGGUGUGACCCCCACCUGCUUACAUACCGCAUCCCUCGGGCCGUACUGUGGGAUGGGCGGCCGAACUACCCCUUCUGUCAGGAAGCACCUGCAGUCCAUGGCUCUGAACACUGCUGCGCAGGGAGGGCAGGCACAGUGAGAGCAGUGGGUGGGGACACCGGAGUGCGUGUGGCACGCCGCUGGGCACAAGGGGGCCGAGGGGACCGAGUGUACCUCGCUUGCUGCGGUGAGGGGGCGUCCCAGGGCCUUUCCCCCAGAUUCCUACAACAGGGCUCUUCUGUUGGUUAUCUUGGGCUGACAUUCUAAACUGAAACGCAUGACCCCAUGUCUGGGUUAGAGCUGGCCCUGUGGCGCAAGAUGGACUCUCCCCCUGGAACUUACUACAAAUGCCACAGCAGGCCUCAGGGCUUACCCCUCAUGUGGAGGCCAGGCCAGCAGGACAGGCUGGUGCCCAGGUCUGCACAGCAGUAGGUGGCAGUAUUUUAAUGCCCGAGAGCCCAGGGCCUGGCCCUGAUGCUGACCCUGUGGACUUGCCAGCAGGACAGGCCCACCGGAGGGAGGACAGGCGGCAGCUGGCUCGCGGGUCCUGUUAGCGCUCUGAUGAAGUCCCAGCAGCUGGGGACAGCCCCCGCACGAACUCCUGGCGGGAGGAAGCUGCUCGGACACAAAACCACCUUGUCACCGGGUCACUGGCCUGGGAGUUCGGAUCCAUAUGCCCACCUGUACCCCAUGCGCACCUGUACCCGGCACGG